UACGUAGGGGGCGAGCGUUGUCCGGAGUUACUGGGCGUAAAGGGCCUGUAGGCGGUUCGGCGCGUUUCCGGUGCCAGCCUGUUGCUUAACGACGGGAGGGCCGGGAAGACGGUCGGACUGAGAGGGCCUCAGAGGGACAUCGAAUUCCGGGUGGAGUGGUGAAAUGCGUAGAGAUCCGGAGGAAGACCGAUGGCGAAGGCAGUGUCCUGGGAGGCGCCUGACGCUGAGGGGCGAAAGCCAGGGGAGCGAACGGG
This 254-nucleotide ribosomal RNA is filed under the name uncultured prokaryote. RNAcentral's name for it is "partial 16S ribosomal RNA". It matches the Rfam family "Bacterial small subunit ribosomal RNA", at positions 524 to 776 of the family's 1533-position model. The record is from RNAcentral.